Molecule: long non-coding RNA, 1559 nt
Organism: Hemibagrus wyckioides
Lineage: Eukaryota; Metazoa; Chordata; Actinopteri; Siluriformes; Bagridae
Exons: 3
Source: RefSeq, a predicted model, not a curated record
GCUGAAUGUAGUCAGUCAGCGGAUGGGAGCAGAUAUAACAUCAGCGCCACGUGAGGGAUAAAGAGGGAGAGGACGGCCAGUUGGGUCAUUACUCAGUCAUUUGCGUUUGGAAAAAAAAAGGAUAAGCGUUUCUCUUGGUUGGGUUUUUUUUUCUCCCCCUUUCUUUCUUUUUUUCUGCUUCUCUUCUAUCUUCUUGAAUUUUCCUUUGGCUCCUUUGGGGGUUUUUUUCCAUCUUCUGAGUGGACAACACCGUUGGAGUGCAUCAGAAGAUUUCAGUUCAUUUCUCCUACAUGAUAAGGAAGUUGGGAGGUGUUGAAGCUGGCGAGCCAUGCCCAUGUAAAGACUGAACUGUAUACUGUAAUGUGAAAUACUCAGAACCCUGCCUUUGCUGAUGUUGGAGUUGAGAUGGCAGUUCUUCUUAGUGUCUGCUCCUGUCUUCUGGUCAUUCUCGUCAAUCACAAUGCACAUCUCAGCCAGCAGAUGGACCUGCUUCUCAUCCAGAUUAUCCUUGUUUAUUUCUGGCAUCUUUACACCGGCUUGAGUACAGAAAGCAGCACCACACCUGUGGAAACAGAAAGCAGAGCAUUAUGACCACCUGCCUGAUAUUGUGUUGGUCCACUUUUUGCUGCCAAAACAGCCCUGACCACUCAUGCACUGUGUGUUCUGACACCUUUCUAUCAGAACCAGCAUUAACUUCUUCAGCAAUUUGAGCAACAGUAGCUCGUCUGUUGGAUAGGAUCACACCUGGUGCAUCAAUGAGCCUUGGCCAUCCAUGACCCUGUUGCCGGUUCACCACUGUUCCUUCCUUGGACCACUUUUGAUAGAUACUGACCACUGAAGACCGUUAACACUCCUCAAGAGCUGCAGUUUUGGAGAUGCUCUGAUCCACUGGUCUAGCCAUCACAAUUUGGUCUUUCGUCAAACUCGCUCAAAUCCUUACUCUUGUCCAUUUUUCCUGCUUCUAACACAUCAACCUUGAGAACAAAAUGUUCACUUGUUGCCUAAUAUGUCCCACCCACUAACAGGUGCCAUGAUGAGGAGAUCAUCAGUCUUAUUCACUUCACCUGACAGUAGUCAUAAUGUUAUGGCUGAUUGGUGUAUAUAAACACAACAAAGGACAGUUCUGUGUUAAUGUUUGUUAAUGUGUAUUAUUAUAUGUGUAUUAAUAUAUUAUAUAUAUUAAUUUUUCUUCUUCUGAACAUUAUUAUUAUUAGCAUUAGCAUUUUUUGGAGGGACAGUGAUGGUUUAAAUGGUUAAGGCUCCGGGUUGUUGAUCAGAAGUUUGGGGUUCAAGCCCGAGCAUCACCAAGAUCCACUGUUGGGCAAUUCAUCAAGGCCCUUAAUCCUCCCUGCUCCAGGGGUGCUGUAUUAUAGCUGCCCCUGCACUCUGACCCCAACUUCCUCAGCUGGGAUACACAAAGAAAAGAAUUCCACUGUAAUGUAUACAUGGCGAUAAUAAAGGCUUCGUGCCCUCAGUUCAUUUAUAUAUCAGAUGAGUAGAGGACUCACAAUAAUGUGCCAGGUAAAACACACACACACACAGGACAUAAAAUAUUAUUC